This is a long non-coding RNA of Mauremys mutica (yellowpond turtle), 729 nucleotides long. RefSeq lists it as uncharacterized. The transcript has 3 exons. NCBI's taxonomy places the organism in Eukaryota, Metazoa, Chordata, Testudines, Geoemydidae. The record is from RefSeq and is a predicted model, not a curated record.
CUGAACCUUGACAACCCCCAUCCAAAACUAAUUAUCAUAGAAAUUCAAGGCUGGAAGGGAUCUCCAGUGGAAUCCUGCUAACUAGCAUUAUUCACAGGGAUCAAAGUGGACCAUCUUGUGCCAUCCCUAUGAAAUGGCCCUUCAAGGAGGAAAAAGCCACUGCUUCUGCUGAGCUGCCAUUGCGUCCAGUUCAGAGGAGUCACCACUGAGCUGCCACUUCUGUGUCCAGGGUCUCCUUGCUGCUGGGGGGACAUGAGAUGAUGCACAGGAAAAAGGAAGAAAAGGUUGACCCACACAUCUCUGUGUCAAAGUUAUCUAACUAAAUGAAUACAAGCUAUCAUUGUUAAAUACAGAACAGUAUAGCAAAGGACAAGUAUUUUCAAAGUACUGUGCUAAAAGGAACUACAUAUAAUGAACUAUUGUACAAAGAGAAGCCCAGAGAAGGAAAACAAAUAUAUCUUUUAAACCUCUCUAUCUUGCAUCAAAAAACAAAUAUCCACACAUCACAAGAGAAAUUUCUCCAAUUUGAUAGCAGUAAAGACAAUGCUACAGACCAGAAAGAUUCAAAGGGCAGAAAUUGUUGUCAGUUUAUUCUUUCUUAUGUAGGCAUAUUGUUUGUUUUUAUUAAUUGAUAUCCAUCUCUGUUUUCUGAAAACUUACUAUUUUUUGAGGGAAAAAAUGAGUAUUAAAUUGAAUUAAAAAGUAAAUGUAGUCUUGAUAAAAGCUGUU